This 841-nucleotide ribosomal RNA is filed under the name uncultured archaeon. RNAcentral describes it as "bacterial SSU rRNA". It matches the Rfam family "Archaeal small subunit ribosomal RNA", at positions 1 to 849 of the family's 1478-position model. The record is from RNAcentral.
UUCCGGUUGAUCCUGCCGGACCUGACUGCUAUCGGAUUGAUACUAAGCCAUGCGAGUCAUUGUAGCAAUACAAGGCAGACGGCUCAGUAACGCGUAGUCAACCUAACCUAUGGACGGGAAUAACCUCGGGAAACUGAGAAUAAUGCCCGAUAGAACACUAUGCCUGGAAUGGUUUGUGUUCCAAAUGAUUUAUCGCCGUAGGAUGGGACUGCGGCCUAUCAGUUUGUUGGUGAGGUAAUGGCCCACCAAGACUAUUACAGGUACGGGCUCUGAGAGGAGUAGCCCGGAGAUGGGUACUGAGACACGGACCCAGGCCCUAUGGGGCGCAGCAGGCGAGAAAACUUUGCAAUGUGCGAAAGCACGACAAGGUUAAUCCGAGUGAUUUGUGCUAAACGAAUCUUUUGUUAGUCCUAGAAACACUAACGAAUAAGGGGUGGGCAAGUUCUGGUGUCAGCCGCCGCGGUAAAACCAGCACCUCAAGUGGUCAGGAUGAUUAUUGGGCCUAAAGCAUCCGUAGCCGGCUCUGUAAGUUUUCGGUUAAAUCUGUGCGCUCAACGUACAGGCUGCCGGGAAUACUGCAGAGCUAGGGAGUGGGAGAGGUAGACGGUACUCGGUAGGAAGGGGUAAAAUCCUUUGAUCUAUUGAUGACCACCUGUGGCGAAGGCGGUCUACCAGAACACGUCCGACGGUGAGGGAUGAAAGCUGGGGGAGCAAACCGGAUUAGAUACCCGGGUAGUCCCAGCUGUAAACUAUGCAAACUCAGUGAUGCAUUGGCUUGUGGCCAAUGCAGUGCUGCAGGGAAGCCGUUAAGUUUGCCGCCUGGGAAGUACGUACGCAAGUA